AAGUGUGGACGCCAGUCUGCAUGGAGCCGACCUUGAAAUACCACCCUUUAAUGUUUGAUGUUCUAACGUUGACCCGUAAUCCGGGUUGCGGACAGUGUCUGGUGGGUAGUUUGACUGGGGCGGUCUCCUCCUAAAGAGUAACGGAGGAGCACGAAGGUUGGCUAAUCCUGGUCGGACAUCAGGAGGUUAGUGCAAUGGCAUAAGCCAGCUUGACUGCGAGCGUGACGGCGCGAGCAGGUGCGAAAGCAGGUCAUAGUGAUCCGGUGGUUCUGAAUGGAAGGGCCAUCGCUCAACGGAUAAAAGGUACUCCGGGGAUAACAGGCUGAUACCGCCCAAGAGUUCAUAUCGACGGCGGUGUUUGGCACCUCGAUGUCGGCUCAUCACAUCCUGGGGCUGAAGUAGGUCCCAAGGGUAUGGCUGUUCGCCAUUUAAAGUGGUACGCGAGCUGGGUUUAGAACGUCGUGAGACAGUUCGGUCCCUAUCUGCCGUGGGCGCUGGAGAACUG
RNAcentral lists this ribosomal RNA (505 nucleotides) under Escherichia coli. RNAcentral's name for it is "partial 23S ribosomal RNA". It matches the Rfam family "Bacterial large subunit ribosomal RNA", at positions 2160 to 2664 of the family's 2925-position model. Lineage: Bacteria; Pseudomonadati; Pseudomonadota; Gammaproteobacteria; Enterobacterales; Enterobacteriaceae. The record is from RNAcentral.